Orcinus orca (killer whale) is the source of this 5930-nucleotide RNA transcript. It is a transcript of the gene named RWD domain containing 3, with no coding region annotated. NCBI's taxonomy places the organism in Eukaryota, Metazoa, Chordata, Mammalia, Artiodactyla, Delphinidae. The record is from RefSeq and is a predicted model, not a curated record. The transcript has 8 exons.
UGCUCGGGGCCGGCGGGGGCGGCGGCGGCGGAAGGCGGAAGGGGAGGUGUUGAGCCAGCCGAGCGGCGCGGCCAUGGCGGAGCCGGUGCGGGAGGAGCUCUCGGCCCUGGGUGCGAUUUUCUGCGGGCCCGGCGAGUGGGAAGUGCUGAGUCGCUCAGAGACAGAUGGAACUGUGUUCAGAAUUCUCACAAGAGCCGAAGGAUUUAUGGAUGCGGAUAUACCCUUACGAUUGGUGUUCCAUUUACCGGUUAAUUACCCGUCGUGUCUGCCUGGUAUUGUGGUUAACUCCGAACACCUGACCAGGGCUGAGUGUGAGAUUGUGAAGGAGAAGUUACUGGAGCAAGCAGAGACCCUUUUGUCGGAACCUAUGGUUCAUGAGCUAGUUCUCUGGAUUCAGCAGAAUCUCAGGCACAUCCUCAGGCGGCCAGAAGCUGGAGGUGGCAGUGAAAAGUGCACUUCUGCAGCAAGCACGACUGUGGAUGAUGGAUUGUGGAUGACUCUUUUGCAUUUAGACCAUAUGAGAGCAAAGACCAAAUAUGUCAAAAGUGUGGAGAAGUGGGCUUCCGAUUUAAGGCUGACAGGAAGACUGAUGUUCAUGGGUAAAGUAAUACUGAUUUUACUGCAGGGAGACAGAAACAACAUCAAGGAGUACCUGAUUCUUCAGAAAACCUGCAAAGUAGAUGUGGACUCAAGUGGAAAGAAAUGCAAAGAGAAAAUGAUUAGUGUACUGUUUGAAGCAAAAGUACAGACAGAACACAAAAGGUUUCUGGCAUUUGAAGUCAAAGAGUAUUCAUCGUUGGAUGAGUUACAAAAGGAAUUUGAAACUGCAGGACUUAAGAAGCUUUUCUCCGAAUUUGUACUUAGGCUGAUAAAAUGAAGUGGAAGACAGCUUUCCUUGAAGCUCAGUAUGACCAUAAGACUAAAUUCUGGGUAAAUGGAGGGACCAUAUGUGGUUUCCAGAAGGGCUUCUUGAAGGCGUUGACUCACUGGGAGCUGCUGCCUUUUCCUCCCUUCUACUGCCUGGAAUGUGGACAGGAGGGCUGAAACUCCAAUGGCAAUCUUGGGUUAUAAGAGAAAGUGGGACACUCUGAUUUUGGGGCUGAGGAAAGGAUACAAGAAAAUUCCAGGGGAGAAGACAUACUGCCACCAUAUCCUGACAACAGUCUGCUGCACACGAUGGGGUGUUGCUCCAGGACCUUGCUUCAGACGUGUAAGCUCCCCCAUCCUUUAAACCACUGAUGUCUCUGUCGCUGACUCCCCACUCUUUCUUCCAUCUUGAAGCUGGGCAAGUACAAGCCUUGUAGGCCGGAGGGGUGCAGCCCAACACUUGGUCAAAAGAACACUGACUGAGCAAGUCAAUGGGAUACAAACCCAGACCUGGCUGACCCUGGAGCCCUGAGCUUUCUUCCCAAUCCUCCUCAUAGAGAAACACAGCUAAUAGUUUGAAUUUUUUGUACCAACGUCUUUUCUUUUUUUAAACGACUAAACCAAUAUUAUAGUAUAUGUGAAUAUUUAUAUAUAUAUUAAUUUUUUUAAUUGAAGUGUAGUGAAUGUACAAUAUUAUAUAAGUUAUAGGUGUACAACAUAGUGAUUCACAAUUUUUAAAGGUUUUACUUCAUUUUUCGGUAUUAUAAAAUAUUGGCUAUAUUCCCUGUGUUGUACAAUAUAUCCAUGUAGCUUAUUUUAUACGUAACAGUUUGUACCUCUUAAUCCCCUACCCCUAUCUUGCUCCCCCUCACCCCCCACUGGUAACCACUAGUUUUGUUCUCUAUAUCUGUGAGUCUGUUUCUUUUUUUGUUAUAUUCACUAGUUUGUUGUAUUUUUUAGAUUCCACAUAUAAGUGAUACUGUACAGUGUUUGCCUUUCUCUGUCUUAUUUCACUUAGCAUAAUACCCUCCAAGUCCAUCCAUGUUGUUGCAAAUGGCAAAAUUUCAUUCUUUGUAAUGGCUGAGUAAUAUUCCAUCGUAUAUAUAUAUACCACAUCUUCGUUAUCCAUUCAUCUGUUGGAUAAACACUUAGGUUGCUUCCCUAUCUUGGCAAUUGUAAAUAAAGCUACUAUGAACAUUGGGGUGCAUUAGUGUUUUUGUUUUUUUUGGAUAUAUCCCCAGGAGUAGAAUUGCUGGGUCAUGUGGUGGUUCCAUUUGUAGUUUUCUGAGAAACUUCCAUACUGGUUUUCCACAGUGGCUGCACCAACUUACAUUCCCACCAAGAGAGUACGAGGAUUCCCUUUUCUCCACAUCCUCACCAAAAUUUGUUAUUUGUGUUCUUUUUGAUGACAGCCAUUCUGACAGGUGUAAGGUGAUAUCUCAUUGUGGUUUUGAUUUGUAUUUCCCUGGUGAUUAGCAAUGUUGAGUCUUUUUAUGUGUCUGUUGGUCAUGUGCAUGUCCUCUUGGGACAAAUGUCUAUUUAGGUCUUCUGCCCAUUUUUUAAAUCAGGUUUUUUUUGAUGUUAAGUUGUAUGAACUGUUUAUGUAUUUUGGAUAUUAACCCCUUAUCGGUCAUAUUAUUUGCAAAUAUUUUCUCCCAUUCAGUAGGUUGUCUGUUGGUUUUGUUGAUGGUUUCCUUUGCUUUUUAGUUUAAUUAGGUCCCAUUUGUUUAUUUUUGCUUUUAUUUCCUUUGCUUUGGGAGACAGAUCCAAAAAAAAUAUUGCUAUGAUUUAUGUCAAAGAGUGUUCUAUGUUUUUCUCUAGCAGUUUUAUGGUUUCCAGCCUUACAUUUAGGUCUUUAAUCCACUUCGAAUUUAUUUUUGUACAUGGUGUUAGAGAAUGAGGCUGACUUGGGAGUACGGGUCCCUUGGCUUCUGGCUUUUGGUAGGGCUGGGUCGACUGAUGGAAGGGUUGCAGGGUGGGGCCGUGGCAGGAGGUGAGAGGGAAGGAGAAUUCAGCUGAGGUACUGCUUCUCCUGGUCCUCCCUGUGGGGUUGCUGAGGGAUGGCUGCCUCCCUAGACCCAAGGUCACAGUUCUGGUAGGUGAGCCUCUCUGCUCAACUUCGUUGCUCCAGCCUUGGGGACUGCCUUAUCCCUUUUGGGUUCCCUCCACCCUGCCCACACCCUUAUGAAUAAUCCUUUUAUUAAAUGCUCUUCAAAUUUCCCAAUUUGAGCGUGCUGUUUAUUUCCUGUGUGGAUUCUGGGUAAUACUACUUGUAUAAGCGUGGCUCUUCCUUCCACAUUUCAUGUCAAGAUAGGGUAUUACCCGUGUUUUUAAUCAUUUCAGUCCUCAUAAGGGGAAAAUGAUAUCUUGUUUUAAUUUAUAUAUUUUUGAUUAUUAUUGAGUUUGAACAUCUGUUCACAUGUUAAUUGGCUAUUUGCAUAUUUGUCUUAAUUGCUUGUUAACAUUCUUUGCCCAUUUUUCUUUUGGGUGAUCUCCUCCCUCCCUUUUAAAUUCUUAUUUUGAGUGGAAUAUUUUUUCUAUUAUAUUUUCCAACUGAUUGUUGUUAGUGUAAGUGAAAAUUAUUGCUUUCGUAUUUUGCCAUUCCUCUGAGCUCUUUUGUUUUAAUGGAUUUUAGCUGAUUCUCUUGGAUUUUCCAAUAACAUUUGCAAAGAAUGAUAAUGCCAUAUCUUCCUUUCUGAUUUAUGCCGCAUUUCUUUACCCUGUUUUACUACAUUGGCUAGAUCCUCCAAAUCACUAUUGAACAAUAGUGGCGGUGGUGCUAAUCUUUGUCUGAUUCCUGACUCUAAUCCAGAGUGUGUUUCACAGAACUCUAACACUGAGGGAUACCCCUUGAGGAAAGUUCAGACUCAUGCGGGAAGCAUUGUACGCUCUUAGAGAGUCCCAGUGCAUGUGAGUGUGUUAAGGGCUCUGCGUCUUUUUGUUUUUGGUUCUUGCUUAAUAUAGCUCUGGUACUGAAUUUUAUGCAGUUCAUUAUCAGCUCAAUAAUUUGCAUAGGUCCUGGAGAGCCAAAACACAAACAAAAUAUUUUGUAACAAUAUAGUUAAACCACUGUGGUUUUAUGUAAAAAUUCUGAAUUAUUCUAAGGCUCAAUGCUUAUUAGUCUAGAUACUUAAGCCACUAUAUUUUGUAUUUAAGGGGUCAUAUGACUCAUCCUCCACUUUGGCAUGUUUUGCUCUCAGAAGAAACAAUUGAGAUUUAAAAAACUAACUUAAAUGGAAGGACGGAUAUCAGGAAAUCAUACUGUUCUUUCUCCCUCUCUUUCUUCUCUGUGUAUGUGUUUUAUACACACAUACACAUAUACACAAACAACCAAACAAAUAAAAAAUUCCAAGAACCAACAGACCUCAAGUUACUAUUUUCUUACAAUGUCCAUGCUUCUUUAUUGGCCCCUUACCCCUUCCCUCCAAUUCUUUUUUUUUUUUUUUUUCCCAAUACUUUUUCAUUGUUCCUUACUCCCUCCUUUCCUUUCUUCCAAUGUAUGUUUAGUUAUCUCCAGAAAAAUCUUUCUCCAUCAUUGCUCUUUUUCCAUUCCGAUUAUUAAUUAAAAAUUACUCUUACUGUUGAUGAAAAUCAAGUUAAUAUUAAAGAAUACCUGCAACAAGAGAAGGGAAAGGCACUCGUUAUUAAACUUAUCUUAACUGUCCAAGUAAUACAUGUUGUUAUGUGUUCACAUGAAAUUAAGCCCUGAAACAGAAUUGAUGACAACAACCUCCAAAGACCUUGAAAAAGCUCAGAAGUCACCUUCAGAAUUCUGAUAAAUGUCUCAUCUACAUUUGCCUUCUCUUCAAAUUAAAUCUGUUAUUCUCAGAGCAUUUAAGAAUAAUAAACUAUCUUUAAUUCAAUUUAACUUUCCAUUUUCUUUAAUUACGAGUAUUGAAACAGUAUUGCUUCCUGCUAUAUUUCAUUGUAAGUCUUUCAGCUAUGCUAUAAGGCUAAAUUAAGCUUUUAUAGAUUUUUUUAGGAUAAACCUAAUCUCUAUUUAUUGCUUCUAGGGUAAUAUUCAUCCUUAGUUUUAAAAAUACUGACAUGUAAAUAAAGUCUUAGAAAAUAACUCACUUACAAAUUGGCAAUUCCUGUGUGGUGAAUUAAAAAAAAAAAAAAAAGAACAAAACCGAAAGAUGGACUCUCCUAUUUUUACAGAAUUUCUUUUGUUAGUUCAGUAAGGUCAAAUUUUGGGGGUGUGAAUCUAAAUCAUGUUGCUAGGUUAAUACAGAAUUAGAGAAAUUCAGUGGUACUUCAACUUAAUUGCUCUCCCAUCAUUUUAGUCAUAUGUUUAUUUUUCAUUUUUAAUAAAAUUUCUUUAAUUUCUGAAGUUGGAAUUCCAAUGUUUAAGAGAAUAGAUCCAUGAUUUUAUGCCAAUGGAACGGCCUACUGGUUUUUGUUUUUUUGUUUUUUUGUUUUGACAGGGUAGGGGGUGGUGUCUGGCAAAAUGCCUUUUCCAUUAAAUAGAUCUAUAAGGAAAAAAAGUCAUUAUUGCUAAUGAAUUCAGGGAUUUUACUUACUGGAAGUAGUCAAGUAGUCUGGUACAAAAAUGCACAUUGCAUUAUGAACCAUAACACUGCAAGGUUUGUAAUAUAAGAGCUGCUAAAUAUAUUUUGAACAUCACAAAGGCUGUGUUUCUUGCCUGGAGCUUGCUCUUUGUUAUACUCUGCAUCUCAUAUUCUUAUCUUUUUCAUGAGGAGUAGUGAAUCUCAAUAAAAUCUAUGGAUUGUGUUAUGUUUAAAGGCUACUCACUGAACCAAUAUUUUCACAGAUAAGAUCAAUAAUAUAUGUGUAAAUCUUUGAAAUUUAGAUUGGAAAGGAAGCUGCCUAAUAAAACUCUGCUAUUGAAUUUUAUACAACAUCUUACCAGCCUUUUAAUUUUAUAUUCAGGUCCCAAAGGACCAAAAGACAAACUGAACACAUCUGCAAUUAUCUGGAUUAAACCAUGAUGGUUUUAUGCAAAAACUCUGAAUGCAUUUAAGGUUUAUGUAUUGUGAAGGCAUUGUGUAAUGGUUAUUCAUUUCGUUUCUUUGUUAAGAACACUUGCCUAAUGUUAAAAU